GAUGAACGCUGGCGGCGUGCUUAACACAUGCAAGUCGAACGAUGAAGCCCAGCUUGCUGGGUGGAUUAGUGGCGAACGGGUGAGUAACACGUGAGUAACCUACCCUUAACUCUGGGAUAAGCCUGGGAAACUGGGUCUAAUACCGGAUAGGAGCGCCUACCGCAUGGUGGGUGUUGGAAAGAUUUAUCGGUUUUGGAUGGACUCGCGGCCUAUCAGCUUGUUGGUGAGGUAAUGGCUCACCAAGGCGACGACGGGUAGCCGGCCGGAGAGGGUGACCGGCCACACUGGGACUGAGACACGGCCCAGACUCCUACGGGAGGCAGCAGUGGGGAAUAUUGCACAAUGGGCGAAAGCCUGAUGCAGCGACGCCGCGUGAGGGAUGACGGCCUUCGGGUUGUAAACCUCUUUCAGUAGGGAAGAAGCGAAAGUGACGGUACCUGCAGAAGAAGCACCGGCUAACUACGUG
RNAcentral lists this ribosomal RNA (466 nucleotides) under uncultured bacterium. Its description in RNAcentral is "partial 16S ribosomal RNA". It matches the Rfam family "Bacterial small subunit ribosomal RNA", at positions 28 to 507 of the family's 1533-position model. The record is from RNAcentral.